CCAGAACGUAAUAAAUUUAUUCUAUAACCCAUGUAUUUGAGAAAAAAUCAUGAAAAACAAAGACAAUUCUGUUAUAUUAGACUUUAUUUGUUACAUUUCAAAAUAAAUUUAUACUGAAUUCUACACUUAGCUGUCCAUUUUUAGUCAACUCUCUGUAAAGGAUGCAACAUAGAAUAAAUUUAUUCUAAAUGCAUGGUGCUUUAUGUAUAUGAUCAUUUAUAAAAUAAAUUUAUUAUAUAGAGCCUUAAUAUCUAUUAUUAGUUCUAGAAAAUCAUAGAAUAC
This 282-nucleotide long non-coding RNA is filed under the name Mytilus galloprovincialis (Mediterranean mussel). Lineage: Eukaryota; Metazoa; Mollusca; Bivalvia; Mytilida; Mytilidae. The record is from RNAcentral.